CUCAAAGUGAGCACAGGUUCUUUGUGUACUUGCUAUUUCUCAUAAGCCUCAGUUUUUCAGCUAAACCAGGACCUCUGCUGCCUUCUCACAUCAAGCUUCCAACAGGAGACUCUCAGGUUCCUUUGAAACUCCUGAGUGGACACCAUCUGGUCCAGAUUUUCCCAGUCAUGGAAGGAUUUGAAAGCAGGAACAUUCUUGAGGGUUC
This 205-nucleotide long non-coding RNA is filed under the name Cyanistes caeruleus (blue tit). RNAcentral describes it as "lncRNA (ENSCCEG00000000261.1)". Lineage: Eukaryota; Metazoa; Chordata; Aves; Passeriformes; Paridae. The record is from RNAcentral.